This 474-nucleotide ribosomal RNA is filed under the name uncultured bacterium. Its description in RNAcentral is "bacterial SSU rRNA". It matches the Rfam family "Bacterial small subunit ribosomal RNA", at positions 335 to 801 of the family's 1533-position model. The record is from RNAcentral.
ACUCCUACGGGAGGCAGCAGUGGGGAAUAUUGCACAAUGGGGGAAACCCUGAUGCAGCCAUGCCGCGUGUGUGAAGAAGGCCUUGGUUGUAAAGCACUUUCAGUAGGGAGGAAGGUAGUGUAGUUAACACCUGCACUAUUUGACGUUACCUACAGAAGAAGCACCGGCUAACUCCGUGCCAGCAGCCGCGGUAAUACGGAGGGGUGCGAGCGUUAAUCGGAAUUACUGGGCGUAAAGCGCAUGCAGGCGGCCUGUUAAGUCAGAUGUGAAAGCCCGGGGGCUUAACCUCGGAAUAGCAUUUGAAACUGGCAGACUAGAGUACUGUAGAGGGGGUAGGAAUUUCAGGUGUAGCGGUGAAAUGCGUAGAGAUCUGAAGGAAUACCGGUGGCGAAGGCGGCCCCCUGGACAGAUACUGACACUCAGAUGCGAAAGCGUGGGGAGCGAAACAGGAUUAGAUACCCUGGUAGCUACGAG